GUCUACAGCCGUACUACCCUGAACAAGCCCGAUGUCUUAUCUUGGAAGCUAAGCAGGGUCAGGUCUGGUUAGUACUUGGAUGGGAGACCAUCUAGGAGGACCAGGUGCUAUAGGCA
This 116-nucleotide ribosomal RNA is filed under the name Pteropus alecto (black flying fox). Lineage: Eukaryota; Metazoa; Chordata; Mammalia; Chiroptera; Pteropodidae. The record is from RNAcentral.